AGAGUUUGAUCUCUGGCUCAGGAUGAACGCUGGCGGCGUGCUUAACACAUGCAAGUCGAACGAAGCACUUUAUUUGAUUUCCUUCGGGACUGAUUAUUUUGUGACUGAGUGGCGGACGGGUGAGUAACGCGUGGGUAACCUGCCUUGUACAGGGGGAUAACAGUUGGAAACGGCUGCUAAUACCGCAUAAGCGCACAGCAUCGCAUGAUGCAGUGUGAAAAACUCCGGUGGUAUAAGAUGGACCCACGUUGGAUUAGCUAGUUGGUGAGGUAACGGCCCACCAAGGCGACGAUCCAUAGCCGACCUGAGAGGGUGACCGGCCACAUUGGGACUGAGACACGGCCCAAACUCCUACGGGAGGCAGCAGUGGGGAAUAUUGCACAAUGGGCGAAAGCCUGAUGCAGCGACGCCGCGUGAGCGAAGAAGUAUUUCGGUAUGUAAAGCUCUAUCAGCAGGGAAGAUAAUGACGGUACCUGACUAAGAAGCACCGGCUAAAUACGUGCCAGCAGCCGCGGUAAUACGUAUGGUGCAAGCGUUAUCCGGAUUUACUGGGUGUAAAGGGAGCGCAGGCGGUGCGGCAAGUCUGAUGUGAAAGCCCGGGGCUCAACCCCGGUACUGCAUUGGAAACUGUCGUACUAGAGUGUCGGAGGGGUAAGCGGAAUUCCUAGUGUAGCGGUGAAAUGCGUAGAUAUUAGGAGGAACACCAGUGGCGAAGGCGGCUUACUGGACGAUAACUGACGCUGAGGCUCGAAAGCGUGGGGAGCAAACAGGAUUAGAUACCCUGGUAGUCCACGCCGUAAA
Molecule: ribosomal RNA, 801 nt
Filed under: uncultured bacterium
Lineage: Bacteria
Description: bacterial SSU rRNA
Rfam family: Bacterial small subunit ribosomal RNA
Source: RNAcentral